RNAcentral lists this long non-coding RNA (261 nucleotides) under Gallus gallus (chicken). Lineage: Eukaryota; Metazoa; Chordata; Aves; Galliformes; Phasianidae. The record is from RNAcentral.
GUUUAUUGCCUAAUCUGCAGCUUUGGAUCCUAGAGUCGCUCAGGCAAAUUUCAGCUAAUCAAAUCCUUGAUAAUUAACAGAGCUGGUGUUCUGGGGACAAGUCAGUUGCUUCCAGUUUCUUCCUUCAGUACACAAGCACGUCCCAUUUCUUUCCCUCACAUAUGGCUGCAUCAUACCCACACAUUUUCAUGCCUUUCCAAAACAAAAUGUCAGUCCUCAUCUUCUCACCAAUUUUGUUACUUGUCUGAAGUCUGCACAGAU